UACGAAGGGGGCUAGCGUUGUUCGGAAUUACUGGGCGUAAAGCGCGCGCAGGCGGUUUUCCAAGUCAGUGGUGAAAGCCCGGAGCUCAACUCCGGAAUUGCCAUUGAAACUGUGAAACUUGAGUACGAGAGAGGUGAGUGGAAUUCCCAGUGUAGAGGUGAAAUUCGUAGAUAUUGGGAAGAACACCGGUGGCGAAGGCGGCUCACUGGCUCGUUACUGACGCUCAGGCGCGACAGCGUGGGGAUCAAACAGG
This 253-nucleotide ribosomal RNA is filed under the name uncultured bacterium. RNAcentral describes it as "partial 16S ribosomal RNA". It matches the Rfam family "Bacterial small subunit ribosomal RNA", at positions 524 to 776 of the family's 1533-position model. The record is from RNAcentral.